CACUGAGCCACACCUGCAACUUGAUUCACCAGUUAACUUCUGGAAGGAAUCCUAAGACAUUAGCAGCGCACACCUCUGGGGAACACACCUGGGAGUUUCGGAAGGAGACCACUUUCUUACAUUUCUUCCCUCUGCCCUCCAGCUGGGUCUGUGAACAAGGCAGCUCCCUCUGUUCUGUGCUUUGGGUCUCUUCCACAGAUUUGCUCACAGGAAGUCAUUUUGGUUCACAGCCUAGUGAUGAAGGCUCUAGGGCCAGAGGGCUGAUUGUGGCUCUAAUUUGCAAUUAUGCAGUGAUUUUUCACACUGCUUGUGGAAUCCUGACUUCCUCCCUGUUUGGGUUGGAGAGUUAGAAGUCUCUGAUUUGAUUGGAGUAGCACAGGCAGUGAUUACCAUAAGAAUUUGGCAUAUUAAAUUGGGUUGGGAAGUACUUCAUAUUGGGCAACAAAUGUAAAUUAUUUUCUUCUAUUUCUCACUCCUAUACAACCGCAUGUUUACUGUUUAU
This 502-nucleotide long non-coding RNA is filed under the name Chinchilla lanigera (long-tailed chinchilla). RNAcentral describes it as "lncRNA (ENSCLAG00000024829.1)". Lineage: Eukaryota; Metazoa; Chordata; Mammalia; Rodentia; Chinchillidae. The record is from RNAcentral.